Molecule: long non-coding RNA, 435 nt
Organism: Pteronotus mesoamericanus
Lineage: Eukaryota; Metazoa; Chordata; Mammalia; Chiroptera; Mormoopidae
Exons: 3
Source: RefSeq, a predicted model, not a curated record
GGUGUAGUUCUUGGCUCUCUGGUGUGUGUUCUUUUCUUCUGAAACUUUAGAGAGGACUUUAGAUGUUGAAAAUAUGAAGUCUCUGCUUUGCACCCAGCGCUGAGCGAGCAAGCCUUGGGGAAGAGAAGUGGACUGCUGAGAAGGUUGCCCGCCCAACGGCAGUCACUUGCUGGGACUUCUCUGUCUAUGUGCUGGUUCAGACUGGGAAAUGGGUUCUAAUGGUUUCCGGAACAGAACUGGUCUCUACAGGCCGCCCCGAGGGAUGGCGCGUUUGCAGCCACGCGCAGCCGGUGCUGAGCUGCUCCCGGGCUUCUCAGCCCCACUCCCCCGCGGAGGAAAACCUCGACGUGCAACGAGGGCUGGCGGGACCAAAAGGACGAGCCACGCCCUUGGAACAUCAACGCUCAUCUAGAAUUUCCCUUGAAUCAGGCCUUU